AGAGCAACUGGUUCAUAUGAGAGAGUCUGUAAUCUAGGUUUUAAAAAGGGUUUCAUUUCUUAUUUGGAAAGUGGCAAUGCCAGCAGUUAACUCUUAUGCAAAAAUGGAUCAAGAGGAUACUAUAAAAUAUGGUAAUGCGGAGUAUUUCAAAGCUUCAUAUCUUAUGUGAUGAUGAAAGUGCGGAAGGGAAACAAGCGGUCAAGUGACUUCAGCGGCCCACCUCUGCCCAUCUUGCAAAAGCUCAUUUACCUACAGUUUUCAAAGUUUUGAGAUCAGUAACUGGGAUGAUACAGCUAAAUUGGUAGUAGGUAAGGUGGGAUUUGGAAGUUGGCCAUCUUGGGCAUCCUUGAAAGAGGCUGUAGAGCGAGACACUGUGCAGUUAGCUGCUCCAUUAGUAUGCUUCUUCUUAUCUGAUCUCAUGGAAGUCAUGCCAUUGACAAUGUCUGGGAUUCCAUAUCUUGCCAUCCUCAUCUGUUUCACUGUUUAGGCAUCCAGCUUUCAGGUGGCUUUGAACAUCAUCACCAUGUAGGUAGGUAUACCUUGAACAUCAUCACCAUGUAGUUUCCUUUUUCUGGAUCCAAAUAAGAUGGCAGGAUACAUGAUGGCUUUUGGUUCUGAGCUGUCUCAAGCCCUAGCAGAUGACCAAUAUCUUGUACAGCAACUGUUUCUAUGUCCAUCAAGUCUUUCCAUGGAUUAGUACUCCAACUCUCUUCUGCAUUGAAAUGAAGCCUUCCAUCUGUUGGUGAAAAAGAAUGAGCAAGUAGUCCACCAGGACCAUCAAAGCUGGAACAUCACCAUGAUCAGCGCAUUAAAAUCUACUUAAAAUAUCUGCCUCAUCAAUGGCUUCGGAAAAUUUAAAACGGCUCACCUCUUUCCAUCCUGCAAAAGCUCGUUUACUGACAGUUCUCAAAGUUUUGAGAUCAGUAACUGGGAGGGUAGAGCUGAAUUGAUAGGCAGAACGAGACUAUGUCCGGGAGUCCACAUCCUCAUCUGUUUCACUGUUUGAGCAUCCAGCUUUCCAGUAGCUCUGAGAUGGUAAUUGAGUUGCGUGAAAAUGAAUUUUUUGUUUGAGAAUAAAUAACACAUGGUGAAUAUUUGAGAGUAAAUUUCAGGUGACAAUGACU
Molecule: long non-coding RNA, 1124 nt
Organism: Papaver somniferum (opium poppy)
Lineage: Eukaryota; Viridiplantae; Streptophyta; Magnoliopsida; Ranunculales; Papaveraceae
Exons: 3
Source: RefSeq, a predicted model, not a curated record